AGUAAAAGUCGUAACAAGGUCUCCGUAGGUGAACCUGCGGAGGGAUCAUUACAAGUGACCCCGGUCUAACCACCGGGAUGUUCAUAACCCUUUGUUGUCCGACUCUGUUGCCUCCGGGGCGACCCUGCCUUCGGGCGGGGGCUCCGGGUGGACACUUCAAACUCUUGCGUAACUUUGCAGUCUGAGUAAACUUAAUUAAUAAAUUAAAACUUUUAACAACGGAUCUCUUGGUUCUGGCAUCGAUGAAGAACGCAGCGAAAUGCGAUAAGUAAUGUGAAUUGCAGAAUUCAGUGAAUCAUUGAAUCUUUGAACGCACAUUGCGCCCCCUGGUAUUCCGGGGGGCAUGCCUGUUCGAGCGUCAUUUCACCACUCAAGCCUCGCUUGGUAUUGGGCAACGCGGUCCGCCGCGUGCCUCAAAUCGACCGGCUGGGUCUUCUGUCCCCUAAGCGUUGUGGAAACUAUUCGCUAAAGGGUGUUCGGGAGGCUACGCCGUAAAACAACCCCAUUUCUAAGGUUGACCUCGGAUCAGGUAGGGAUACCCGCUGAACUUAAGCAUAUCAAUAAGCGGAGGAAAAGAAACCAACAGGGAUUGCCCCAGUAACG
This 603-nucleotide ribosomal RNA is filed under the name uncultured fungus. RNAcentral's name for it is "eukaryotic LSU rRNA". The stretch from base 208 to 361 matches the Rfam family "5.8S ribosomal RNA". The record is from RNAcentral. Lineage: Eukaryota; Fungi.